RNAcentral lists this ribosomal RNA (472 nucleotides) under uncultured bacterium. Its description in RNAcentral is "SSU rRNA". It matches the Rfam family "Bacterial small subunit ribosomal RNA", at positions 26 to 518 of the family's 1533-position model. The record is from RNAcentral.
AGGAUGAACGCUGGCGGCGUGCCUAACACAUGCAAGUCGAACGUCCUGUCUCGCAAGAGGCAGGGAGUGGCGGACGGGUGAGUACCACGUGGGUUAUCUACCGUGAGGUGAGGAAUACCGGCGAGAAAUCGCCGACAAGACCGCAUAGGCUCGAUGCAAGUCGAGCAAAGCUCUUUCGAGAGAGGGAGCGCCACACGAGGAGCCUGCGCCCGAUUAGCUAGCUGGUGGAGUAACGGUUCACCAGGGCGACGAUCGGUAGCUGGUCUGAGAGGACGAUCAGCCACACUGGGAUUGAGAACGGCCCAGACUCCUACGGGGGGCAGCAGUGAGGAAUUUUCGGCAAUGGGGGAAACCCUGACCGAGCAACGCCGCGUGCAGGAAGACGGCCUUCGGGUUGUAAACUGCUUUUCUUUGGGACGAGAACGGACGGUACCAGAGGAAUCAGCCCGGCUCACUACGUGCCAGCAGCCGC